CAUCAAAACACUGAAUAUACAAAACCUUGGGUUGUCAACUUUUCAAAUAUAUGCACAUUCAUGGCAAGAAAAUAAAUUGGCAUAUGUAAAAAGGCCGCCAAAAAUAAGAUAGGCAAAGAAGAUAUGUAAAUUUGAAAAAUACGUCAGAAGUUUGGCGUUGCACCCCCCAAACAACCCAACAAACCUAUUCAGCGUACUCAGGAGAUG
This is a non-coding RNA of Pelobates cultripes (western spadefoot toad), 207 nucleotides long. Lineage: Eukaryota; Metazoa; Chordata; Amphibia; Anura; Pelobatidae. The record is from the annotation of a GenBank genome assembly.